This 2929-nucleotide ribosomal RNA is filed under the name Escherichia coli. RNAcentral's name for it is "bacterial LSU rRNA". It matches the Rfam family "Bacterial large subunit ribosomal RNA". Lineage: Bacteria; Pseudomonadati; Pseudomonadota; Gammaproteobacteria; Enterobacterales; Enterobacteriaceae. The record is from RNAcentral.
GGGUUGUGAGGUUAAGCGACUAAGCGUACACGGUGGAUGCCCUGGCAGUCAGAGGCGAUGAAGGACGUGCUAAUCUGCGAUAAGCGUCGGUAAGGUGAUAUGAACCGUUAUAACCGGCGAUUUCCGAAUGGGGAAACCCAGUGUGUUUCGACACACUAUCAUUAACUGAAUCCAUAGGUUAAUGAGGCGAACCGGGGGAACUGAAACAUCUAAGUACCCCGAGGAAAAGAAAUCAACCGAGAUUCCCCCAGUAGCGGCGAGCGAACGGGGAGCAGCCCAGAGCCUGAAUCAGUGUGUGUGUUAGUGGAAGCGUCUGGAAAGGCGCGCGAUACAGGGUGACAGCCCCGUACACAAAAAUGCACAUAUUGUGAGCUCGAUGAGUAGGGCGGGACACGUGGUAUCCUGUCUGAAUAUGGGGGGACCAUCCUCCAAGGCUAAAUACUCCUGACUGACCGAUAGUGAACCAGUACCGUGAGGGAAAGGCGAAAAGAACCCCGGCGAGGGGAGUGAAAAAGAACCUGAAACCGUGUACGUACAAGCAGUGGGAGCCUCUUUUAUGGGGUGACUGCGUACCUUUUGUAUAAUGGGUCAGCGACUUAUAUUCUGUAGCAAGGUUAACCGAAUAGGGGAGCCGAAGGGAAACCGAGUCUUAACUGGGCGUUAAGUUGCAGGGUAUAGACCCGAAACCCGGUGAUCUAGCCAUGGGCAGGUUGAAGGUUGGGUAACACUAACUGGAGGACCGAACCGACUAAUGUUGAAAAAUUAGCGGAUGACUUGUGGCUGGGGGUGAAAGGCCAAUCAAACCGGGAGAUAGCUGGUUCUCCCCGAAAGCUAUUUAGGUAGCGCCUCGUGAAUUCAUCUCCGGGGGUAGAGCACUGUUUCGGCAAGGGGGUCAUCCCGACUUACCAACCCGAUGCAAACUGCGAAUACCGGAGAAUGUUAUCACGGGAGACACACGGCGGGUGCUAACGUCCGUCGUGAAGAGGGAAACAACCCAGACCGCCAGCUAAGGUCCCAAAGUCAUGGUUAAGUGGGAAACGAUGUGGGAAGGCCCAGACAGCCAGGAUGUUGGCUUAGAAGCAGCCAUCAUUUAAAGAAAGCGUAAUAGCUCACUGGUCGAGUCGGCCUGCGCGGAAGAUGUAACGGGGCUAAACCAUGCACCGAAGCUGCGGCAGCGACACUAUGUGUUGUUGGGUAGGGGAGCGUUCUGUAAGCCUGUGAAGGUGUGCUGUGAGGCAUGCUGGAGGUAUCAGAAGUGCGAAUGCUGACAUAAGUAACGAUAAAGCGGGUGAAAAGCCCGCUCGCCGGAAGACCAAGGGUUCCUGUCCAACGUUAAUCGGGGCAGGGUGAGUCGACCCCUAAGGCGAGGCCGAAAGGCGUAGUCGAUGGGAAACAGGUUAAUAUUCCUGUACUUGGUGUUACUGCGAAGGGGGGACGGAGAAGGCUAUGUUGGCCGGGCGACGGUUGUCCCGGUUUAAGCGUGUAGGCUGGUUUUCCAGGCAAAUCCGGAAAAUCAAGGCUGAGGCGUGAUGACGAGGCACUACGGUGCUGAAGCAACAAAUGCCCUGCUUCCAGGAAAAGCCUCUAAGCAUCAGGUAACAUCAAAUCGUACCCCAAACCGACACAGGUGGUCAGGUAGAGAAUACCAAGGCGCUUGAGAGAACUCGGGUGAAGGAACUAGGCAAAAUGGUGCCGUAACUUCGGGAGAAGGCACGCUGAUAUGUAGGUGAAGCGACUUGCUCGUGGAGCUGAAAUCAGUCGAAGAUACCAGCUGGCUGCAACUGUUUAUUAAAAACACAGCACUGUGCAAACACGAAAGUGGACGUAUACGGUGUGACGCCUGCCCGGUGCCGGAAGGUUAAUUGAUGGGGUUAGCGCAAGCGAAGCUCUUGAUCGAAGCCCCGGUAAACGGCGGCCGUAACUAUAACGGUCCUAAGGUAGCGAAAUUCCUUGUCGGGUAAGUUCCGACCUGCACGAAUGGCGUAAUGAUGGCCAGGCUGUCUCCACCCGAGACUCAGUGAAAUUGAACUCGCUGUGAAGAUGCAGUGUACCCGCGGCAAGACGGAAAGACCCCGUGAACCUUUACUAUAGCUUGACACUGAACAUUGAGCCUUGAUGUGUAGGAUAGGUGGGAGGCUUUGAAGUGUGGACGCCAGUCUGCAUGGAGCCGACCUUGAAAUACCACCCUUUAAUGUUUGAUGUUCUAACGUUGACCCGUGAUCCGGGUUGCGGACAGUGUCUGGUGGGUAGUUUGACUGGGGCGGUCUCCUCCUAAAGAGUAACGGAGGAGCACGAAGGUUGGCUAAUCCUGGUCGGACAUCAGGAGGUUAGUGCAAUGGCAUAAGCCAGCUUGACUGCGAGCGUGACGGCGCGAGCAGGUGCGAAAGCAGGUCAUAGUGAUCCGGUGGUUCUGAAUGGAAGGGCCAUCGCUCAACGGAUAAAAGGUACUCCGGGGAUAACAGGCUGAUACCGCCCAAGAGUUCAUAUCGACGGCGGUGUUUGGCACCUCGAUGUCGGCUCAUCACAUCCUGGGGCUGAAGUAGGUCCCAAGGGUAUGGCUGUUCGCCAUUUAAAGUGGUACGCGAGCUGGGUUUAGAACGUCGUGAGACAGUUCGGUCCCUAUCUGCCGUGGGCGCUGGAGAACUGAGGGGGGCUGCUCCUAGUACGAGAGGACCGGAGUGGACGCAUCACUGGUGUUCGGGUUGUCAUGCCAAUGGCACUGCCCGGUAGCUAAAUGCGGAAGAGAUAAGUGCUGAAAGCAUCUAAGCACGAAACUUGCCCCGAGAUGAGUUCUCCCUGACCCUUUAAGGGUCCUGAAGGAACGUUGAAGACGACGACGUUGAUAGGCCGGGUGUGUAAGCGCAGCGAUGCGUUGAGCUAACCGGUACUAAUGAACCGUGAGGCUUAACCUUACAACGCCGAAGCUGUU